Long non-coding RNA from Choloepus didactylus (southern two-toed sloth), 1624 nucleotides. RefSeq lists it as uncharacterized. The transcript has 4 exons. NCBI's taxonomy places the organism in Eukaryota, Metazoa, Chordata, Mammalia, Pilosa, Megalonychidae. The record is from RefSeq and is a predicted model, not a curated record.
GGCUUUAGCGUUAGCGAUCGCCGUUUUUAUGGUGUUGGACCUCAGCGAUUUCUGAGACCAGCACUCCGAAGUUUCAAUUCCCCCAGCAGGACCUCUAGGAACUUUGAGGCGGAUUGAGAAGGGCCGGGCCUCCGAGCCUCCAGCCUAAGAAGGUGGGACUUGGGAAAAUGUCAGAGGUCUGCGACGGGAAUUGGCCCCAUGACACUCAUUCUUGCUCAGAAGAAACCGAUUGCAAAGGCCGGGAGAUGAGGGGCAGAGAUGAAGGCAAACAAGCGCGGGCUCGUUGCCUCUCGACCCCAACACAACCUACGGGGCUUGGAGGGAACCAAGCCGACGACCCAAAAGCAUCGGUCGGGGCACUCUGUAGCCGAUAAGGUCUUUUGGGAAGCAGCCUACCUUGUGGACUGUAAUAAGUCACUUUUAUGGGUGUGGUUGUAAAGAACAGGAUUCAGAACCUGUGGGGUUCAGGUUCUCGAGGUACAAGUGGUGGGGAGUUUACCUACCCUGGAUGACAAAAUCUCCUGGAACACCGUCACCCGGAAGAUAGAAAUGUCGUGACUGUUGUGUAUACUGUGUGAUGAUUCUGAGAAUCAGUUUGCUUGCCCAGAAAGGAGAUCAGAAGACCAGAUGAUGCAGCAGCAAAUGUCUUAGGUGUGCUAUUUGGAACAGAGAAUUUCCAGGCAGUAGGAGUAUGAACAAAUGCAGGGCUGAGAAAUUGUAUGGUGAUGCCUCUCCAUAAGUGGGAUUGGCUGGACAGGGCCGUAGUCCUCACCUGUAAUUUCCUGGCCAUCACCUUGCUUUGUGGUCUUUCCUUGUCUCUUCUUGGGUAGAAAUGAACUGCCUAAUGUUCCUGUUAGUGCACUUUUCACCAACUGCCAUGGUAAGACAAUGUGUCAGAUGCCUAAACACAAGCCAAGUAAGUCCUGGUGUAGAAGGGAAGGGCUCAACAUCAUUACUAACCUACAGCCUCAGUACUCAUUCUCACCAGCUCCCUCAGAACCACUCCUUCCCACUGAUAUCCAUCAGCAUCUGUAACACGAGCCUUUACUAUGCCACCUUUAGAAUUGAGGAUUCUGAAAAUCAGAAAAGAGUGGGCCCUAAAAAGGAAAGAACUUGUUCCUCUUUUCUCAUUCUUCUCUGAUUUAGCCUAUUUAAUUCUGGUGAAAUUUUCAUGAUCAGCACCCUCUUCUCUCAUUCUACAUGAACAUUUUGUUGCUGACCUUCCCUCAGUUAUUCCCUGAGACCCAGAAACAGUAUCUUUUCUGUGCUUUUAUCUACAUCACCACAGGUAAAGAGGUACAGAGAUGAAUUCUGAAGAUCUUGGCCGUGGAGUGAGGUAGGAACUUUAUCUUGAUUAGCCUCUUGGAAAAAUCAAAAGGUGUGAGGGAAAAGAAAAAUCUAGGAGAAAAAAAUGUUCUCGAGGGAGGAAGAGAAUGAGAGAAACGGAGUAUUAACAUUAUUUUGGUUCACUGACCAUGAUACUAAAGUACAGCUUUUAAGUAUUGGGAUAAGCUAACCAGAAAGUCUUUCUUUCUCCUUCUUUUUUUGACUGACAGGUACUUUUCUUUUUAAUUCAGUUUUAUUGAGAUAUAUUCACAUACCAUACAAUCAUCCAUGGUGUACA